GUUGCCAGCGGAUCAUGCCGGGGACUCAUAGGAUACUGCCGGUGACAAACCGGAGGAAGGUGGGGAUGACGUCAAGUCAGCAUGCCCCUUAUGUCCAGGGCUACAAACGUGCUACAAUGGCCGGUACAAAGGGCUGCAAGACCGCGAGGUGGAGCGAAUCCCAAAAAGCCGGUCCCAGUUCGGAUUGGAGGCUGAAACUCGCCUCCAUGAAGUUGGAGUUGCUAGUAAUCGCGGAUCAGCAAUGCCGCGGUGAUACGUUCCGGCCUU
RNAcentral lists this ribosomal RNA (267 nucleotides) under uncultured Rubrobacteria bacterium. RNAcentral's name for it is "partial 16S ribosomal RNA". It matches the Rfam family "Bacterial small subunit ribosomal RNA", at positions 1114 to 1374 of the family's 1533-position model. Lineage: Bacteria; Bacillati; Actinomycetota; Rubrobacteria. The record is from RNAcentral.